CAAUAGCGAAUCUUAAUGUUGUUGCUAUUAAAAAGCUCGUAGUCGAAUUUCUGGCCGGGAAAAGCCGAUCUAACCGCGCUGCUCCUAGGUCAUCCGUCUUUGAGGGCAUGUAGGUAUUUGUUUAUCUCGUGUCGGAUCUGGCAUUUUACUUUGAAAAAAUACAGAGUGUUUCAGGCAGGCUUUCGCUUGAAUACACCAGCAUGGAAUAAUGGAAUAGGGCUAGACUUACUUCUUGGUUCGUUUGUACUAGCAAUAGAUUAAUAAGGGACGAGUUGGGGGCGAUUCGUACUGGACAGCUAGAGGUGAAAUUACUACGAUUUGUUCCAAGACGAACUAAUGCGAAGGCAUCUGCCAAGGAUGUUUUCAUUGAUCAAGAACGAAAGU
RNAcentral lists this ribosomal RNA (384 nucleotides) under uncultured eukaryote. RNAcentral describes it as "bacterial SSU rRNA". It matches the Rfam family "Eukaryotic small subunit ribosomal RNA", at positions 592 to 990 of the family's 1831-position model. The record is from RNAcentral.